This 223-nucleotide unclassified non-coding RNA is filed under the name Hevea brasiliensis (rubber tree). Lineage: Eukaryota; Viridiplantae; Streptophyta; Magnoliopsida; Malpighiales; Euphorbiaceae. The record is from RNAcentral.
AGUGGCCAGUCUCUGUAAAUUGAACACCGCUAUUUCCUGAAGUUUAGGAUUCAUGUUGUCUACAGGCAAGUUUACAUCCAAAUGUGUCAGGUGAUCUCCCUCCCUUUUUAGUGAUAAGGUCUCCCUGCUUAUUCUUUUCCUUUUUGGGUUAGAUUCAUGGUGUGAGUAUAAUUGCAAAUUGCAUUUUUCUUUUCUGAAAGAUUGUAAAUGUAUUGAAGAUAAU